This 315-nucleotide ribosomal RNA is filed under the name Triticum aestivum (bread wheat). RNAcentral's name for it is "partial small subunit ribosomal RNA". Lineage: Eukaryota; Viridiplantae; Streptophyta; Magnoliopsida; Poales; Poaceae. The record is from RNAcentral.
AUGGAUGUAUCUAGACGUAUUUUAAUUCUAGAUACAUCCAUUUUCAAGACAAGUAAUUCCGAACGGAGAGAGUACAACCCAUUAGAUGAGUAUGUUAUUGAUAUAAUGAUAUUGCUCCUAUUCCUAGAAAGUGCACAAGGAAUACCUCAGAAUUGUCAUUUGGGAACAGAGGCUUGUACUAUUUGUCAGUUCAGUUUUGGAAAGGCCUUUCCUCAAGCCACUGCCGUUGUGGACAACAAAAUAAGACAACAAUUUCCAAUCAACAAUAAUGAGUUGCAUAUGCACAUACAAGGUCUGAAUCAGGACAUGUUUUGA